Molecule: ribosomal RNA, 305 nt
Filed under: uncultured Ascochloris
Lineage: Eukaryota; Viridiplantae; Chlorophyta; Chlorophyceae; Chlamydomonadales
Description: partial large subunit ribosomal RNA
Rfam family: Eukaryotic large subunit ribosomal RNA
Source: RNAcentral
AUAUCAAUAAGCGGAGGAAAAGAAACUAACAAGGAUUCCCCUAGUAACGGCGAGUGAAACGGGAAUAGCCCAACUUGAAAAUCUCCCUUUGGAGAAUUGUAGUCUAUAGAAGCGCCAUCUGUGGCGGCCGGAGCCCAAGUCUGUUGGAAAACAGCGACAGAGAGGGUGAGAUCCCCGUCGGUUCUAGGCUUAGCUACUUCACGAGGUGCUUUCCACGAGUCGGGUUGUUUGGGAAUGCAGCCCAAAAUGGGAGGUAAAUCCCUUCUAAGGCUAAAUACUGGCGAGAGACCGAUAGCGCACAAGUA